Molecule: ribosomal RNA, 481 nt
Filed under: uncultured bacterium
Lineage: Bacteria
Description: partial 16S ribosomal RNA
Rfam family: Bacterial small subunit ribosomal RNA
Source: RNAcentral
GAUGAACGCUGGCGGCGUGCCUAACACAUGCAAGUCGAGCGAAGCGCUUAAAUUAGAUUUCUUCGGAAUGACGAUUUUUGUGACUGAGCGGCGGACGGGUGAGUAACGCGUGGGUAACCUGCCUCAUACAGGGGGAUAACAGUUAGAAAUGACUGCUAAUACCGCAUAAGACCCCAGCUCCGCAUGAAGCGGUGGUAAAAACUCCGGUGGUAUGAGAUGGACCCGCGUCUGAUUAGCUAGUUGGUAAGGUAACGGCUUACCAAGGCGACGAUCAGUAGCCGACCUGAGAGGGUGACCGGCCACAUUGGGACUGAGACACGGCCCAGACUCCUACGGGAGGCAGCAGUGGGGAAUAUUGCACAAUGGGGGAAACCCUGAUGCAGCGACGCCGCGUGAAGGAUGAAGUAUUUCGGUAUGUAAACUUCUAUCAGCAGGGAAGAAAGUGACGGUACCUGACUAAGAAGCCCCGGCUAACUACGUG